CUACGGGAGGCUGCAGUGAGGAAUAUUGCACAAUGGGGGGAACCCUGAUGCAGCAACGCCGCGUGGAGGAUGACACAUUUCGGUGUGUAAACUCCUUUUAUAUGUCAAGAAAAUGACGGUAGCAUAUGAAUAAGCACCGGCUAACUCCGUGCCAGCAGCCGCGGUAAUACGGAGGGUGCAAGCGUUACUCGGAAUCACUGGGCGUAAAGGACGCGUAGGCGGGUUGGAAAGUCAGGUGUGAAAUCCUACAGCUUAACUGUAGAACUGCACUUGAAACUUCUAAUCUAGAGUAUGGGAGGGGGAGAUGGAAUUAGUGGUGUAGGGGUAAAAUCCGUAGAUAUCACUAGGAAUACCUAAAGCGAAGGCGAUCUCCUGGAACAUUACUGACGCUAAGGCGUGAAAGCGUGGGGAGCAAACAGGAUUAGAUACCCGAGUAGUA
Molecule: ribosomal RNA, 439 nt
Filed under: uncultured bacterium
Lineage: Bacteria
Description: partial 16S ribosomal RNA
Rfam family: Bacterial small subunit ribosomal RNA
Source: RNAcentral